Molecule: long non-coding RNA, 686 nt
Organism: Perca fluviatilis (European perch)
Lineage: Eukaryota; Metazoa; Chordata; Actinopteri; Perciformes; Percidae
Exons: 3
Source: RefSeq, a predicted model, not a curated record
GUAUACGUGCGCCUGCUCUACCCACUGAGCCAACCCGGCCACAAUGUCCCUUCUGAGUCUGCAUCUUCAUAAGCAUACCAUUGUGAAGUAAAAUCAUAUCCCACACAGAGAGAGGAGGCAGACUGAAGCAAAAUCGUGCCUGAACUACAACCCCUCUGGUGCCAUGGCAACGAAGAAGUGAAAAGGGUGACUUGUGAACAGGAACCAGCAGCGUCCAUUGUGGAUUUCUUUUAUCCCGAGGCCACUGGGACGCGAACAGUUCUGUCUCUCUCUACGUGGGAUCUUUUGUCCUCUUCACCUUCUCAAUAAUUCAAUGGAAAGAGGAGACGUCAGCUCUGGUAUAAUUACUGUGUGAGGGUGCCAAGCUUCUCUGUCAAGGGCAAGAUGGGACCAAGCUUUAAAGUACUGGAGAGGGCUAAAAGACGCAGCAACAACGUGCACCGUGGCGCUGUCGAUGACAAAAGCUUCAGCUGCCGGGCAGAUGAUGAAACUGCAGGUUCAUGGGUGGAGCGAAGUCAGCGCAACUGGGAGCACGUGGUCAGUCUCCCAGGAGUUGUUAAGAUUUGCCUUUCAACCCGCUCAGUCUCCAUCCUCCAUCCAUCCUGGUUGGCUUCGUCCUGGUUAAUAGCUAGGUUUACACUUUACAACACUUUGCGUUCAUCAUUCACUCAUCAGUCUGCUGCCAC